GGUUAAGCGACUAAGCGUACACGGUGGAUGCCCUGGCAGUCAGAGGCGAUGAAGGACGUGCUAAUCUGCGAAAAGCGUCGGUAAGGUGAUAUGAACCGUUAUAACCGGCGAUGUCCGAAUGGGGAAACCCAGUGCAAUUCGUUGCACUAUCGUUAACUGAAUACAUAGGUUAACGAGGCGAACCGGGGGAACUGAAACAUCUAAGUACCCCGAGGAAAAGAAAUCAACCGAGAUUCCCCCAGUAGCGGCGAGCGAACGGGGAGCAGCCCAGAGUCUGAAU
RNAcentral lists this ribosomal RNA (280 nucleotides) under Klebsiella pneumoniae. RNAcentral describes it as "partial 23S ribosomal RNA". It matches the Rfam family "Bacterial large subunit ribosomal RNA", at positions 1 to 281 of the family's 2925-position model. The record is from RNAcentral. Lineage: Bacteria; Pseudomonadati; Pseudomonadota; Gammaproteobacteria; Enterobacterales; Enterobacteriaceae.